Non-coding RNA from Lasiosphaeris hirsuta, 85 nucleotides. The record is from the annotation of a GenBank genome assembly. NCBI's taxonomy places the organism in Eukaryota, Fungi, Ascomycota, Sordariomycetes, Sordariales, Lasiosphaeriaceae.
ACCCGCUUAGCUCAGUGGUAGAGCGCAUCACUAGUAUAUCGAAUACUCAAUGAUGACGUCCUUAGUUCGACUCUGGGAGUGGGCU